RNAcentral lists this small RNA (290 nucleotides) under Arabidopsis thaliana (thale cress). RNAcentral's name for it is "ATSL254360". Lineage: Eukaryota; Viridiplantae; Streptophyta; Magnoliopsida; Brassicales; Brassicaceae. The record is from RNAcentral.
AUUCCUAGUGGCCAUAUGUACUCGUGUGGCCACAUAUUUGCGACAGGUGAAAUCUGUGACCAUGUUUGGUUGAUCUCUUGUAGCAAUGUCUAUGUUUCUUAUCAAUGUGUUGUUGACCAGUGGUAAAUUUUCUAGGUGGAGGUGUUGGGUUCGAGACACGUUAGUAAUGAUCUCUUCUUUAAUCUGAUGUGGAUUUUGCCUCAGAGAGAUGUAGAGCUUUUGGGUCUGAAAUUCUAGAUAUUAAAAAAAAAACAUUUUUUUUUACUUUCUAAAUCUCUUGUUUCAUUUAU